RNAcentral lists this ribosomal RNA (409 nucleotides) under uncultured bacterium. Its description in RNAcentral is "bacterial SSU rRNA". It matches the Rfam family "Bacterial small subunit ribosomal RNA", at positions 355 to 776 of the family's 1533-position model. The record is from RNAcentral.
UGGGGAAUAUUGCGCAAUGGGCGAAAGCCUGACGCAGCGACGCCGCGUGAGGGAUGACGGCCUUCGGGUUGUAAACCUCUUUCGGUACCGACGAAGCGAGAGUGACGGUAGGUGCAGAAGAAGCGCCGGCUAACUACGUGCCAGCAGCCGCGGUAAGACGUAGGGCGCAAGCGUUGUCCGGAUUUAUUGGGCGUAAAGGGCUCGUAGGCGGCUUGUCACGUCUGUCGUGAAAGAUCUAGGCUUAACCUGGAUUCUGCGGUGGAUACGGGCAGGCUUGAGGCAAGUAGGGGAGAUCGGAAUUCCAUGUGUAGCGGUGAAAUGCGCAGAUAUGUGGAGGAACACCGGUGGCGAAGGCGGAUCUCUGGGCUUGUACUGACGCUGAGGAGCGAAAGCGUGGGGAGCGAACAGG